AAAAAAAAAAAAAAAAAAAAAAAAAAACAGUAAGCUAUUACGUUUUACAUAAACCACGAAAAAAAAAAAAAAAAAUGUUAAUAAUGAUACUAUUAAAAAUAGUAACCAUUUAAAUGGCUAAUGAAAAUAAUAAUAAUUAAAUAUAUUUAUUUUUUUUUUCAACUUUGUAAAAAUGCUUAAACGUUUUAAGUUUUUCUACAUUCUUCGUGUUAAUAUAACUUUCUAUACUUUUUAACAUUGCAUUUAUUUUUUAUUUUUUUUAUUAUUUUAAAGUUUUUGUAACUUAAUUGGAUAGCCCAUAAAAUUGCUACAGUUUCCUAAAUACAUUAAUAGUCAUUUAUUUUUAUUUCAUUGCUUAAAUUUAUUAAUUUUUAUAAUUUGUGUAUGUAUACGUAUAUAUAAUAUAUAUAUAUAUAUAUAUAUACAUAUGUAUAUAUUUUAACAUAUCAUAUGUCAAUCAACUUUUUUUGCAUUUAUUAAACUAAGUCAAAUAGCUAAAUGAGCUUUUGCAUCGAAAAGAAAUGUCCACAUAUAAAAACAAAUUUAAAUCAGUUAAUCCACAAAAAAAUAAAAGUGAUGUUUUAAAAAAUUCUUAAUAAAAUAUGUAUAUAAAUUUUAUACUAUUUAAAAAAAAUAAAUGAAAUAAAAAAAUAAAAAAAGAAAAAUUAGAAAAUGAAAUAAAUGAUGUGCCUGAACAAGAAGAACAGGUACCUGAACCGGUCGAAGAAGUGGAAGAAGUUGUUGAAGAAGAAGAAGAAGAAGAAAUUAUUGAAGAAGUUGUAGAAGACAUUAAAGAAGAAAUAGAAGAACCAGUAGUUUUAGAAGAAGAUAAAUCAGUGAAUGAAAAUAUUUCAGAAGAUUUAGAUGAUACUUAUUCAGAUAUAUAUACAGAUUCCAAAAAAUUUAAUGACACUAAUGACAAAUUGGAAACAGGGUCACAAUUAACCUUAUCUACAGAUGCUACUGUUGUAGUCCAGGAAGUAAUGAAAUUAAAUGAACCAGCACAUGAAGAAAGUUUUCAUAAUACAUAUAGGUCUGUCACUCCAUGUGAUAUGGAAAAGGUUGAUGAGACAGCAAAAAUAUUUUCAAGAAGAUGUGGAUGUGACCUUGGGGAAAGACAUGAUGAAAAUGCUUGUUAUAUAUGUAGAAACAUAGAUUUAUCUGACACUCCUUUAUUAACAUAAACAAACAUAUAAUUUGUUAACACUCUUAUGUAUGUAAAUAUAUGUAUACAUAUUUAUUUAUACAGUUUGGCAUAAUAUAUAUAUAUAUAUAUAUAUAUAUAUAUAUAUAAUUUUAUUAUGACUACUUUUUUUUUUUUUUUUUUUAAAUAUAUUUUUAAUAAAGUAACUAAAAAUUACUUUAUUUUCUGACA
RNAcentral lists this long non-coding RNA (1375 nucleotides) under Piliocolobus tephrosceles (Ugandan red Colobus). RNAcentral describes it as "lncRNA (ENSPTEG00000017635.1)". The record is from RNAcentral. Lineage: Eukaryota; Metazoa; Chordata; Mammalia; Primates; Cercopithecidae.